GGGUCAGGAGGUUGGUCGUGCCACCGGUACGUACUGGUCUCACUGAUUCCUCCUUCCUGAAGAACCGUAAUGCCAUUAAUUUGGUGUUGCGGGGAAACCGGACUGUUACUUUGAAAAAAUUAGAGUGUUUAAAGCAAGCUAACGCUUGAAUACAUUAGCAUGGAAUAAUGAAAUAGGACGAUCGAUCCUAUUUUGUUGGUUUCUAGGAUUGACGUA
This 216-nucleotide ribosomal RNA is filed under the name Glomeromycotina sp. RNAcentral's name for it is "partial small subunit ribosomal RNA". The stretch from base 40 to 216 matches the Rfam family "Eukaryotic small subunit ribosomal RNA", at positions 686 to 864 of the family's 1831-position model. The record is from RNAcentral. Lineage: Eukaryota; Fungi; Glomeromycota.